CCCAUCAGUCUCUCUCUCUCUCUCUCUCUCUCUCUCUCUCUCUCUCUCUCUCCCUCUAGAAAGAGAGAAUGAACAAAGCAAAGCCCUCGGAUCAUCGCAGUGCUCAUCUAUUUUUCUCCGGCGACGUUUUGAAACUUCUGUGAGCAGCUUAAUUUCCGGUUGCUUCAUCUAUGGGGAAUGCGUGUUGUGUUGCUGCUGCUCGUGACAAAAUGGUCCUCGUCGUGCCUAAUUCACCAGCUGCCGAGACUGAGAGGAGAAGUCAUUCUCCUACUUGGAGUUUCCGCUGGGAUAAUAAUAAUAAUAAUAAUAAUAGAGGAGGAGGACGUGUUGCUGUUGAAGAUUCCUCCCUUAGUUGGUUAUCUGAUGGGAUUACUCAUAACGAUGCCUCUGACUUCAAAUUUGAAUCUCCUUUUCUAUCAUCUCAUGGCUCCCCUAGCUUUCAGACACAGACACUGCACAAAUCUUCCCCCUCAGAUCUAUCUUUUUCAAGAUAUUCUUCCAUGAACACAGUCAUCGAGCAGAAAGAAAAUGAUUCACCUCCUCCACAAUUGUCUCUUUCACUAGCUUCCCCAGCGCUACCACUUCCGUCCCAGAGCUACUUGCACCCUGCAAGUUCACCCACACUUCAGCUCACACAUCGCCCUCGUCUAUCAAAGCAAGUCUCAGAUAGUCACAGAUUCUAUGCAAUGAACUCACUAAGCAGUAGCUCACCAACUGAAGACAGGCUGGCAACUCCUUUGAGAUACGAUUCUUCUCAGAGUCGACCACCAUCUGAAGGUUGGUCACGGCAAGCCUUUUCUGGAAUGAUGCCAUCUUCUCGCUGCAACCAGCCUUUGUCUUUGAUAAUCACUGCUUCGGCCUUGAACCUGACAAGAUUGACGACCAUCAUGGCAAACGAAUGUCCAAUCAUCAGCAGCAAACCUGUGGUGCAUGCUCUAGACCCCUGUCAGAGAAAUCCUUGUGGAGCAGCCAAAAGAUCUUUAUGACAAAUGAGCUCUCUGUGUCUGCAAUUCUAGCUUGUGGGCAUCUCUAUCAUGGUGAGUGUUUAGAGCAGAUGACGCCAGAAGCCGAUAAGUUCGACCCAUCAUGCCCAGUCUGUACAUUGGGUGAGAAGAAAACUGCGAAGCUGUCAGAGAAAGCAUUGAAAGUGGAGAUGAAUUUGAAAGCUAAAAGACUCAGAAACCGAAUUUUGGACAGUGAUUUUGAAUGCUAUGAUUUUGCACCGUUAGAUCACAGCCACAUGGCAGCAGCAGCUGAGAGCCCUGAACUGGUAUCGAGUUCGAGCGGCAAGAGCUAUUCCGCAAAGCCUUUCUUGGCUCGACAUUUCUCCUUUGGGUCCAGAGGUCACAGUAAAUCCGCAAAAGAGAAUCUUCCUGUAAAACAGAAAGGCUUCUUCUGGACCAAAUCCAGCAAAAUAUGAACUUAUUUUGCGUUGCUCUGUGAACCAUAGAACUCAACAUACACACGGACACGGUACCAUUCAUUUAAGACAGGCUAUUUGUAGUUGCACAUUGUCCCCAUUUGCUUCUUCUUUUUUAUUGGUUACUAAAUUUUCACAUGUAAAGUUACAAAUUUAUUUAGAAUACAAGUUUGGGUGUGAAAAACAACAUUGGGAUCACUAGUCUAUAAAUUAUUCUGGUUGUGCAUAGAUCAGAGUUAGGACUCUGAAAGCAAGCGGUUGGGCAUGCUUUGUAUAAACAUUGACUUGUUUCUACCUAUUUGACCACCUCAGUCAAAUUUCUUUAUAUAAACAUUGACUUGUUUCUA
Raphanus sativus (radish) is the source of this 1767-nucleotide RNA transcript. RefSeq lists it as uncharacterized. The transcript has 5 exons. The record is from RefSeq and is a predicted model, not a curated record. NCBI's taxonomy places the organism in Eukaryota, Viridiplantae, Streptophyta, Magnoliopsida, Brassicales, Brassicaceae.